Molecule: ribosomal RNA, 440 nt
Filed under: uncultured bacterium
Lineage: Bacteria
Description: partial 16S ribosomal RNA
Rfam family: Bacterial small subunit ribosomal RNA
Source: RNAcentral
CCUACGGGGGGCUGCAGUAGGGAAUAUUGCUCAAUGGGGGAAACCCUGAAGCAGCAACGCCGCGUGAAGGAUGAAGGUUUUCGGAUUGUAAACUCCUUUUGUUAGAGAAGAUAAUGACGGUAUCUAACGAAUAAGCACCGGCUAACCCCGUGCCAGCAGCCGCGGUAAGACGGAGGGUGCAAGCGUUACUCGGAGUAACUGGGCGUAAAGGGGGCGUAGGGGGGAUAGCAAGUCAGAUGUGAAAUCCUAUGGCGUAACCAUAGACAUGCAGUUGAAACUGUUAUUCUAGAGUAUGGGAGAGGUAGGUGGAAUUCUUGGUGUAGCGGUAAAAUGCGUAGAGAUCAAGAGGAAUACUCAUUGCGAAGGCGACCUGCUAGAACAUAACUGACGCUGAUGCGCGAAAGCGUGGGGAGCAAACAGGAUUAGAUACCCGAGUAGUC